UUUUUAUGGAGAGUUUGAUCCUGGCUCAGGAUGAACGCUGGCGGCGUGCCUAAUACAUGCAAGUCGAGCGAACAGACGAGGAGCUUGCUCCUCUGACGUUAGCGGCGGACGGGUGAGUAACACGUGGAUAACCUACCUAUAAGACUGGGAUAACUUCGGGAAACCGGAGCUAAUACCGGAUAAUAUAUUGAACCGCAUGGUUCAAUAGUGAAAGACGGUUUUGCUGUCACUUAUAGAUGGAUCCGCGCCGCAUUAGCUAGUUGGUAAGGUAACGGCUUACCAAGGCAACGAUGCGUAGCCGACCUGAGAGGGUGAUCGGCCACACUGGAACUGAGACACGGUCCAGACUCCUACGGGAGGCAGCAGUAGGGAAUCUUCCGCAAUGGGCAAAGCCUGACGGAGCAACGCCG
This 410-nucleotide ribosomal RNA is filed under the name Staphylococcus epidermidis NIHLM049. RNAcentral describes it as "bacterial SSU rRNA". It matches the Rfam family "Bacterial small subunit ribosomal RNA", at positions 1 to 399 of the family's 1533-position model. The record is from RNAcentral. Lineage: Bacteria; Bacillati; Bacillota; Bacilli; Caryophanales; Staphylococcaceae.